RNAcentral lists this long non-coding RNA (973 nucleotides) under Cricetulus griseus (Chinese hamster). RNAcentral describes it as "lncRNA (ENSCGRG00015036776.1)". Lineage: Eukaryota; Metazoa; Chordata; Mammalia; Rodentia; Cricetidae. The record is from RNAcentral.
AGUCUCACUAUAUAUCCCUGGCUUUCCUGGAACUCACUAUUUAGACCAGAUUGCUGUCAAAACCACAGACAUCCACCAGUCUAUGUUCCUGUGAGCUGGAAUUCAAGCUGGACCCAGCCCAGAAGCUUCGUGACCCAAGAGGGCUCUAGGAUAAUGCUGCACUGCAGGUCUCCCCACUGCAAUCCAUGGAACUGCUUCGACCCACUUUUCAAGGAAUCCUAUACUCUUGCAUCUUGGAAACAGUGAGUUAAACUUUCCCUGUCUGCUGUCUCCCCUGCCACCCUUUGCACUCAGUCCCUGCCCUCCACCCCACAGCCACUUUCAGCCACAGGCUCUCAUUUAGAUCUAGCUGAGUGUGCACGCCUGCAGCCUGGAGGCAAAAGCUAUGUGGCUGUGCCCAAUUUUGUCGUGCCUCACGAAACCAGGACAGUUUUCUUAUUUUCCCUGGGGCCUCCAAAGCCAAAGGAGCACUAACACCCACCCUCCUGCAGCCUUUCUCGACAGAGAAAGUUCACUGCUCCUCCAAGCCCACAGAGCUCCCAGUCCCGAAGCUGUGCUACAGAUGUGCUGCCCACUGUGCCCACUCAGCAGAGAGCCCAUAUCCAGCUCCAUCUGCCAAGCUUGGUCUCCACCCGGUACUAUUCGAAGGUUUUUUCCCAUACCUAGUAAACACACCCCCAAUCCAUUCUUAACAUGCUCUGUAAGGGUUUUUCAGGAAAUUUCAGGUCCAACUCAAAACAACCACAACUGAACACCUUCGCCACCUGCUGGUCAAAAGAGAUUACUGCAUCUGGAGUGGCAGCAGCCUGAUUCAUCUAGCUGAAAACCUCCUGCUAGAUGAAGUAGAAGCUGACUGGACAAACAGCUCUGGAAAGACACUGAACUACAGAAAUAACUGCUUAACUGAAUCGGCCAGUAUACUUCAAAGAUGCACUAACCUUGGUAUGGAAGCCUGGACAUGUGUCAUGUUGGG